AGGAGAUUAAACCCAAUAAGAGUCGCGGUAAGGGCGUACCCAAGAGUGGUCCACCUGUCCUGAUUUAUUGUACCGAGAUUUAUUAGACCGAAUGUGGAGAGAAAAAAACCAGUGCCUUUUCCCCUCGCAAGUCGCAACCCAGCGUACCUUUUCCUUUUCUUCCCACAGCUAGGGUUAGCGUCGCCGCCGCCCUCCCCUGUGCUCGUGCCCUCUCCUCUCCCGGCCCGAGCUCCACUGCCUCCAGCCUACGCUAGCGCUCCGUCUCUUCCUCCUCGUUGGCGCUCAAUCGGACGAGCGUGAGCUGCAGCAAACGGCAGCGGAGGGAAACGUGGAUGAGGAGAUCAAGCCAAGCCGGAGGGGACAACUGGUGCACGAGCUCGCACUGCCCUGGCGCCGAUCUCGCGCCGGUCCUACGCCCUGCCACCCUCUCUCGGGACGCCAUGGAGAUCAACAAGGUGCGCCCCCACCCCCCUCCCUCUGUCGGGGUAUGGUAGGUUCGUACUGACCGCCUCCGGCUCGAGCAAGGAUCUGCUGCACCUCCGGCCCCUUUUGCUUGCAGAUUGAGGAGAAGAGAACACAUGUAGAUAGUUCAUCAAAGUUCCUUAACUGCGGCUGAUCUUCUUCGUCAGGUGAAUGUACUGCAGAUUUAGUACAUAGAGCUUUUUUUCCUUCUCUAAGAUACAGUAUACUGCUAAUUUUGAUGGUUUGUUGAAUUAUCUUCUUGUAAUAUAUGAGCGCCCGCAAUGGCCACCUCGGCACAAGGAACACAGGUUGCAGAGAUAGACGUGCGGGCUGCAGAGAGGGCCACCCACGACAUGGUCGCUACCGUUCGUCUAUCGCACGGCAACGGCAGGUCGACCCCACCAUCUCUGCCCCUUUUUGAUGGCGGCUCUGGAGGACCGAGGAAUUGAGGUUGCCCCUUUCGUCUGUUCACAUCCUCCGUUAGUUUUAGAUUUUUGAAGAUUUAUGCGAUGGAAUCAUGAUAUGUAACAUGUCUUCUCCUGAAGAGGUCCGCUUAUUACUUGAUGACACUGUUGCCGGAAACACGGCCAAGGUAGCUGUGCUCCUCAUGAUGGAGCAGCGCCUGGGACAUUUUCUUGGGAGGUUGAAGCCGGAAAGGGAGGAGGAAGAUGGCAGCCGCCCCGCUGCCCAAGGCCGACGAGCUGCAGCCGCAUCCGCUCAAGGAGCAGCUGCCCAGCGUGUCUUUCUGCAUCACCAGCUCACUGCCAUGGCGUACCGUGCUCUGCUUCACCCCGCCUCAGGGGCCUCUUGAUUUGCUCUUUGAAAGUUUCCCUCUUACAUUCCGUGCUUGUCCUUCACUGUCCUCAGUUUUUGCUCCUACUUGUUGUUUCAUGUCCAGGCUUUCUUUCCCACUGCAUCAUGUGUGCUGAUUACUGACCUAUUUUUGUUGUUGUCGAUGCACAUCAGUCUUCAUAUUUUCAGUAGAGAAAGUUUUUUGUUGGAAACAAAUUCUUUUGCUUAACCAGUGUGGAAGGUUCAUUGAUCUUGAAUUUAUUUAUAAUGAAAAGGCCUUCAGCUGCACAUGUUUUUAUGCAAUUGAUAGUAUGUACUACUCAUAUUAAUCAAAUAGCAUAUAAGUUGAUGUUCCUCUUGUGCUUGUAAUCUUGGGCGGAACCAAGGCCGUGAUACUAGGAUUUCAACAUUUCAUAGUCAUGUUGGGCACCAGCAUCAUCAUACCAACGAUGCUUGUUCCUCAAAUGGGAGGUGGAAAUGAGGAGAAAGCUCGGGUAAUCUAGACGCUCAUGUUCGUCGUCGGCAUAAACACCUUACUGCAAACCUUCUUGGGGUCUUGUCUCCACGUCGUGAUGGGUGGCUCCAACACUUUCAUUGUGCCAACCAUCUCCAUCAUCUUGGCCGGAUGCUGAGGCAAUGAGGCAGAUCCUCACGAGGUACUUAUUACUGUCCAGCAGAAUUGCCUUCUCAAGUUCUCAUCAUGUACGAGUUCCUGUACGGAGGCUAACAAAUUUGUGUUGUUGUCAAGAAAAUUCCUACGGACGAUGAGGGGGACACAAAGCGCUCUCAUAAUCGCGAUGAUGAUUCAAAUCAUCCAUGGUUUCAGUGGUCUCUGGCGCAAUGUUGUCCCCCAUUAUCCGCGGUUCCUCUUGUUUCACUCAUUGGAUUUGGGCUUUAUGAACUUGGCUUUCCAGGCUUUCACCACCGUUGAGUUUCAUGUGAACAAUCUGUUUUGUUAUUUUUAUAAAACAAUAUCAUGCCUCAUUUUCCAUUUGAUUUAGUUAUUUCAACUUCAACUUUGAGUGUAUUAGAUAUGCACUGAAUAGAAAGUAUAUUACCUUAUCUGAGUUGUUGCUGCCACUGAGGUGUUAAAAGUGCAUAUUCAUAGCAUCUUCCUUGGCACGAUUAAUUGCCACCGGUUUACAUUCGUAUCUUUCAACAUUUAGUUCAGGAGCUUGAUGAAUUUUCCAUGUCCUGAAAUCAUAUAUAUUUUUUAACAUGAAUUUUGUCUCCACAAAGAACAGUGUGGUAAGCUCUAUAACAGUCAUUCAGACAUCAAAUUAUGAACUCUCAUAUUUGAUUGCUUGGAAAACAGUUCAAAGCAUAGCCAGGAAAUGCUGGCGACCGGAAUAUUGUGAUACUAUGGAUGCUAUCAAGCAUGCUUUUGGGGGCUUACCGCAGAUCAUCUGCAAGAAGGGUUCAGUUCAAGAACUAAUUAAGGUUAAGCUUCAACAAUGAUUUGAAGUCUACAUCACUUUUCAAACCACAGGAUCCUCAUGACCACGGCUAGGAACCUCUAGAGUACAUCAUCUGCGCCUCGGGUGGCUACAGAUGCUGCAGCCGGUUCAACCUAUGGCCAUCAUAAAGAACAGGAAGGACUUGUAAUGUAGUGGAAGGAGCAUGUCCUGCAGGAGAUGGACAGCGAGGCCGCUGACAAGGUCUCUGAACGACGCGCUAGCGGUGGUGGCGGCAGCGACCAAGGCCGUUGACGAGAAGAUCGCGAUGGAGGAGAAGUUUUGGAACUGGAAGAUGGAGAUUGUUAGGAGGAAGCACAACCACAUCUUGUCCCUGUUCAACCUACACAAGGUGUUGGUGGAGAAGAAGCAGGGAAGCUGCUCGCUGAGAAGACCACGCAACAGAAGACCCCCACCGCUGCCGGUGUUAUCUCUAGCACGAGCUGACCACAUCGGGCGUUAGUUGGAUCAUAGAAUGUAUCAUGUCAUCAGAUACAUACAGUAUAUCAUCAGUUGCAUGUACAUUCAAGAGGCUCUCAUUGUUUGAAUGCAGCUGUGCUACACAAAUUGCUGAAAAGAAAUCAGAAAGUGUGUGUGUGCCUACCUGGCACCGCACAACCA
Triticum dicoccoides is the source of this 3329-nucleotide long non-coding RNA. RefSeq lists it as uncharacterized. The record is from RefSeq and is a predicted model, not a curated record. Lineage: Eukaryota; Viridiplantae; Streptophyta; Magnoliopsida; Poales; Poaceae. The transcript is spliced from 8 exons.